AAUGAACGCUGGCGGCAUGCCUAAUACAUGCAAGUCGAACGGACGCACGGUAAGCUUUCUUCUCUGAUGUUAGCGGCGGACGGGUGGGUAACACAUACAUCACCUACCUAUAAGACUUGGAUGACUACGUGAAGCCGGAGCUAAUACCAGCUCAUAUUUUGUACCGCAUGGAUCAAAAGUGAUUGGCGGUCUUGCUGUCACUUAGAGAUGGUUCCGCGCUGCAUUAGCUAGUUGGUAAGGUAACGGCUUACCAAGGCAACGAUGCAUAGCCGACCUGAGAGGGUGAUCGGCCACACUGGAACUGAGACACGGUCCAGACUCCUACGGGAGGCAGCAGUAGGGAAUCUUGCGCAAUGGGCGAAAGCCUGACGCAGCAACGCCGCGUGGGUGAUGAAGGUCUUCGGAUCGUAAAACUCUGUUAUUAGGGAAGAACAUAUGUGUAAGUAACUGUGCAUAUCUUGACGGUACCUAAUCAGAAAGCCCCGGCUAACUACGUG
RNAcentral lists this ribosomal RNA (497 nucleotides) under uncultured bacterium. RNAcentral's name for it is "partial 16S ribosomal RNA". It matches the Rfam family "Bacterial small subunit ribosomal RNA", at positions 29 to 507 of the family's 1533-position model. The record is from RNAcentral.